GGGCCACUAGUAUAACGGUAUUAUGGACAUCUUCUUCGUCUGAAAGAUCAGGGUUCGAAUCCCUGGUGGCCCA
Molecule: transfer RNA, 73 nt
Filed under: Sarcina sp. DSM 11001
Lineage: Bacteria; Bacillati; Bacillota; Clostridia; Eubacteriales; Clostridiaceae
Rfam family: tRNA
About the family: Transfer RNA (tRNA) molecules are approximately 80 nucleotides in length.
Source: Rfam by way of RNAcentral